RNAcentral lists this ribosomal RNA (94 nucleotides) under Rhizobium leguminosarum. Lineage: Bacteria; Pseudomonadati; Pseudomonadota; Alphaproteobacteria; Hyphomicrobiales; Rhizobiaceae. RNAcentral also lists the same sequence under 1 other name. The record is from RNAcentral.
GCUGCACCCGUUCCCUUUCCGAACACGGCCGUGAAACGCCCCUGCGCCCAUGGUACUUCGUCUUAAGACGCGGGAGAGUAGGUCGCUGCCAGGU